Molecule: ribosomal RNA, 1605 nt
Filed under: Salmonella enterica subsp. enterica serovar Typhimurium
Lineage: Bacteria; Pseudomonadati; Pseudomonadota; Gammaproteobacteria; Enterobacterales; Enterobacteriaceae
Description: partial 23S ribosomal RNA
Rfam family: Bacterial large subunit ribosomal RNA
Source: RNAcentral
AGAGGCGAUGAAGGACGUGCUAAUCUGCGAUAAGCGCCGGUAAGGUGAUAUGAACCGUUAUAACCGGCGAUUUCCGAAUGGGGAAACCCAGUGUGAUUCGUCACACUAUCAUUAACUGAAUCCAUAGGUUAAUGAGGCGAACCGGGGGAACUGAAACAUCUAAGUACCCCGAGGAAAAGAAAUCAACCGAGAUUCCCCCAGUAGCGGCGAGCGAACGGGGAGGAGCCCAGAGCCUGAAUCAGCAUGUGUGUUAGUGGAAGCGUCUGGAAAGGCGCGCGAUACAGGGUGACAGCCCCGUACACAAAAGCGCAUGUGCUGUGAGCUCGAUGAGUAGGGCGGGACACGUGGUAUCCUGUCUGAAUAUGGGGGGACCAUCCUCCAAGGCUAAAUACUCCUGACUGACCGAUAGUGAACCAGUACCGUGAGGGAAAGGCGAAAAGAACCCCGGCGAGGGGAGUGAAAAAGAACCUGAAACCGUGUACGUACAAGCAGUGGGAGCACCCUUCGGGGUGUGACUGCGUACCUUUUGUAUAAUGGGUCAGCGACUUAUAUUCUGUAGCAAGGUUAACCGUAUAGGGGAGCCGGAGGGAAACCGAGUCUUAACCGGGCGUUAAGUUGCAGGGUAUAGACCCGAAACCCGGUGAUCUAGCCAUGGGCAGGUUGAAGGUUGGGUAACACUAACUGGAGGACCGAACCGACUAAUGUUGAAAAAUUAGCGGAUGACCUGUGGCUGGGGGUGAAAGGCCAAUCAAACCGGGAGAUAGCUGGUUCUCCCCGAAAGCUAUUUAGGUAGCGCCUCGUGAAUUCAUCUCCGGGGGUAGAGCACUGUUUCGGCUAGGGGGCCAUCCCGGCUUACCAACCCGAUGCAAACUGCGAAUACCGGAGAAUGUUAUCACGGGAGACACACGGCGGGUGCUAACGUCCGUCGUGAAGAGGGAAACAACCCAGACCGCCAGCUAAGGUCCCAAAGUCAUGGUUAAGUGGGAAACGAUGUGGGAAGGCCCAGACAGCCAGGAUGUUGGCUUAGAAGCAGCCAUCAUUUAAAGAAAGCGUAAUAGCUCACUGGUCGAGUCGGCCUGCGCGGAAGAUGUAACGGGGCUAAACCAUGCACCGAAGCUGCGGCAGCGAACGUAUCACCCAAGACAACUUUACGGAGUUGACGAUUGACGGAGCGAAGCGACGUCAAAGCGUUCAUUAAAGUCGAGUUGGCUUAGGGAUACGUUCGUUGGGUAGGGGAGCGUUCUGUAAGCCUGUGAAGGUGUGUCGUGAGGCAUGCUGGAGGUAUCAGAAGUGCGAAUGCUGACAUAAGUAACGAUAAAGCGGGUGAAAAGCCCGCUCGCCGGAAGACCAAGGGUUCCUGUCCAACGUUAAUCGGGGCAGGGUGAGUCGACCCCUAAGGCGAGGCCGAAAGGCGUAGUCGAUGGGAAACGGGUUAAUAUUCCCGUACUUGGUGUUACUGCGAAGGGGGGACGGAGAAGGCUAUGUUGGCCGGGCGACGGUUGUCCCGGUUUAAGCGUGUAGGUGUGUGUUCCAGGUAAAUCCGGUUCACUUUAACACUGAGGCGUGACGACGAGGCACUACGGUGCUGAAGCAACAAAUGCCCUG